AAAAUGGGCCCGGGAAGAAGAAGAAGCCCAGCGUCGAUUAGAGGAGAACCGGCUGCGGAUGGAAGAGGAGGCAGCCAGACUCCGGCAUGAGGAAGAAGAACGGAAGAGAAAGGAGCUGGAGGUCCAGCGGCAGAAGGAGUUAAUGCGCCAGAGGCAGCAGCAGCAAGAGGCUCUCCGGAGGUUGCAGCAGCAGCAGCAGCAACAACAGCUGGCGCAGAUGAAGGUAAAGCCCGAGGCAUCAACCUUAGGAGCUCCUUGCUAACAUUUUUUAGUUAGCUUCCUUCUUCUUCAACGUGGGGCCAGCAGUCCAAUACAACAGCAUGUCAGUCCCAGGCCACGCUGUCGUUGGCUGAAAUCCAAAAACUAGAGGAAGAACGAGAACGGCAGCUUCGAGAAGAGCAAAGGCGCCAGCAGAGGGAGUUGAUGAAAGCUCUUCAGCAGCAGCAGCAGCAGCAACAGCAGAAACUCUCAGGUUGGGGGAAUGUCAGCAAACCUUCAGGUACCACGAAAUCUCUUCUGGAGAUCCAGCAGGAAGAGGCCAGGCAAAUGC
This 550-nucleotide small RNA is filed under the name Pan troglodytes (chimpanzee). RNAcentral describes it as "processed transcript". The record is from RNAcentral. Lineage: Eukaryota; Metazoa; Chordata; Mammalia; Primates; Hominidae.